CUCCUACCCACCCGCCCGCCCCGCCCCGCCCACCAGCUGCAGCCCCCAGUCCCCAGGGGUCCACGAGCGCCGGGGUCCCAGGACCUUUAACCUCUGCUGGCUACCUGGGCCGUGGCCUCCGACGCAGGCGACCCACCUUCCAGGCGAGGAGCGCGGGUCAGGGAACUCUGGGCUGGGGUGCGGGCUUGAGAAAUCAGGGAAACGAUUUGAGGGAAAAACUUUAUUGUUUCUAGAAGAGCCUCGAAGCAAUCACCGGAUGGGAAACCAGCUGGACGUCGUACUUACUUUCCGGGAGUCUGCAUGCUGACCGUAUUGUUGGCCAGCCUCGUGAGUGUAAGCUCUCUGACCACAUUCUGGAUUGUUACAGCACCAGUGCCAGCUCGACUGCCGACUCCCAAGCUGGCACCACUGUCAGUGCCAGAUCUUGUACCAGUGCUAGUGCCAGAUCUGGUAUUAAAGGCAUUUCUGGUACCAGCCCGACAGCUAGAGGUAGCACCAGCUCCAGAGCCAGAGCCAGCUCCAAGCACCAGCUCCUGCAGCGUUCCAGAGCUGGAGCUGGCUCCAGGGCCACCUCCAGAUUUAGAGCCAGUGCCAGGUGCAGAAUGAGAGCCGGCUCUAUCACUAGAUCUAGAGUCAAGUCCAGUGAGAGAACUAGUUCCAACAUUGGCUCAUGGAAAAGCCCUCAAACUCCAGUGAGCUCCGCAACUGGCUCUAGCACCAGCUCCAGGGCUGGAACCAGCUUUGGCACCAGCUGUCUCACCAGCUGCAGGGAUGGAAGCAGCUCUGUCAUCAACCAAUUUGCCAGCUCCCGCAGCAGCUCUAGAGUUUGGAUCAGACCCAACACAAAGUCCAGAGUGACAGAUAACAACAGGAAGUGAACUCGAGUCUACCCCAGCACCACCUCUGGCAACACAGAGCUACAGGCAGCUCUAGAGGUAGAGCUCUCUCUAGAGCUAGUGUCAGCACCAGAGCUAGCUCGAGCAUUAGCUCCUGAGCUAGAGAGAGCUCCACUGCCAGUUCCAGGGCGAGAGCCAGCUCCAAGCACCAGCUCAAGAGCGCGAGUGAUAUCUGGAGCCAGCUCCAGCCAAAGCUCUAGACUCGGUGUCAGUUCCAGCACCCGCUUCAGCACUGAUCCAUUGCCGGAGCCAGUUCUAUUACCACUAAUAGUUCUGGCUGUCCAGAACUAGAGCCAGAGCUGGCUGCAGAGCCAGAGUCAGCUCCAGCACCAGAGUUCGAGCCAGCGCCAUGGCGACAGUCAACUCAGGCUCCAACACUGGCAUCAACUCCUGAGAUAGAGGCAGCUCCAGCCUCAGCUCCGUUGCUGCUCCUGGGUGGGGCUGCUGUUAUCCCACGAGCUGGAGCUGGCUUGAACACCAGCUGUCAUGUCAGCUCUACCUCUGGAAGAUAGAGACGGCUCUAUCACUGACUCCCGUGCCAGCCCCAGUGAUAGACUGAGAACCAGCUCAAAGCCAGUUUAGAGCCAGUGCUAGGUGCCAAGGAAGAGGUCGCUCCAGCUCCAGCUCUAGCAUCAGCCCCAGAAUUACAGCCAUUCCUGGCACCAGCUCCAGAGAGAGAGUCAGCACCAAGUUCAGAGCUAGAGCCUGCUCCAGCCACAGUUCUAGGACCAACUCCAGAGCCAGAGCCCCCAUGAGAGUCAGCUCCUGCAGCAGCUCCAGAGCAAGAGCUGGCUUGGGUGCCAGUAGCAGACUUAGAGCCAGUGCCAGCUCAGGAGAAAGAGCCAGCUCCAGCACCAACGUCAGAGCUAGAUCGUGCUCUGGCACCAGCAUGAUGCCAUUUCAGAGAUAGAGGCAGCUCUAUCACCAGCUCCUAGGCCAGAUUCUGUGCCUGCUCUAGUGCCAGAAUCUGCCCUGACACCAAUUUCAGAGGUGGAACCAGUGCCAGAGCUCCACCACCGGUUUUAGCACCAGCCACAGAGCUAGAGCCAGGACUGGCUGUACAGCUAGAGGCACAAGAAGCAGAUCCAGCACCAGACCGGAGUUGGAGUCAGCCGCAAAGUCAGCGAGAGCUCCAGCACCAGGGACAGCUCCUGCGUCCUAUCCACAGCAAAAUCCACAGCUGCUUCCGGCACCUGCUGUAACCUUAGCUCCGGAGGUACAGCCGGCUCCAGGACCUGAUCCACAGCUCAAGCCAAACCAGUACCCACUCAGGAGUCAGCUUCAGUGGCCGCUCCAGAGCCAGAGCCAGAGCCAGCGACCGCAAUAGCUGUAGCACCGGCUCCAGUGCCAGUGUGAGAGACAGCUCGAGAGCGCUGUCCAACUGCAGAACCAGGUCUAGACCGUCUCUGGAGGUAGAUCCGCCUCCAGCGCCUUCCCCAGAGCUAGAGCCAAGUCCAGCAUCAGCUCUUGCAUAAGCUCCAGUGCCAGUCCUAGGAGCAGAGCCGCCUUUGAACUAGAGCCAGCUCUGUACCAGCUCUAGAACUGGGCGGGGCUGGGGGCGGGGCUGAGGGCGGGACAGUCCCUUCUGGGCAGGUCACUCCCAGGGCCUCCUCCUCCUCCCUCCCUGAGGUCCCGGCCCUCGGGUCCUCUGAGGCCCCGCUUUCUCAAGCGAGGCUCAAAGUGGGCAGAGACCGCUCUGUUGGAAACUGUGGCCAGUACCUUAAAAACUGUAUAUGUUUUGACCCAGAAAAUCCACCUCAUGGAUUCUGCCCUAAAUAGAGAUUUAUGGACGCAGAUGUUCCCUUCAGCAUGAUUCUGAGAGUGAAAAAUGGCAAGUGGCCCAUGUCCCAUAGCAGGGGCUUUUCGGAAGUUCUGAUCCGGGGCCCCAGAAAAUGCGGAGGAGGAAGACGAUGAACUGAUCAGCACCCGCCCGGGGGAACAGGUUCCAGAAGGGCACACGUGCCCAGAGUCCUCCCCACCUGACACCCACAACUGCACACGCACACACGUGCACAUGGGCACACACACCAUGCGAGAAUUCCUGUGGGUAAACUCCUGGGAUUAGCUCUGCAGGUAAGGGGUUGCACCUGUGGAGCUUUGGGGUCCUGUGCACUGUUCUCCCAGAGAGGAGUGUCCUUCCACGCUUCCCUCUAGAGGACCUGCUGGGCCUCUGCUUCCUCACACUGUCCCCAGGGCUGGUCGCCACCAGACUAGAAACCUGUCGGUGUGGUGUUGACAGCGCCGUCUCCACGGCGUUUACAUCUGCGUGUCCUCAUUGGGAGGUCAAGCGUCUCUGACUUGUACUGACCACGUGUGUGGCCUCUUGUUGGAACUGCACGUGUUUGUUCUCUGUCCCUUUUUAAAACAUUGCCUUUCAAGAUCUGGGGGACCACAGGGGUGUCAAACCUUUCUCUGGCCCUGGGAUGUGAGGAAUGCUGUUCGAGUUUGUGGUUUGUCUUCCCAGCUUUCUACAUGUUUCUUGUUUCUGUUUGGCCAUGGGAAGAGCCAGGCGUUUCCCUUCUGUCUUCUGUCUCUGGGGCCAUACUCAGAACAGGGGUCUCUACCCUGAGACUGCACACAUAUUUACAAAAAAGACUUCAAUUUGUACAUCGCAUCUUUAAUCCAUCUGGCGUUUCCCUUUCAUAUAAUAAAAAUGCUAUUUUAAAGUAAAAAAAGAAAACAAAAAUUAACUACUCCCCUCUUAAAAUAUGUGGCCUACACAGAAAGCCACCUUGUAUAAUUCCAUUUAUAGGAAA
Delphinapterus leucas (beluga whale) is the source of this 3652-nucleotide long non-coding RNA. Ensembl lists it as uncharacterized. The record is from Ensembl. NCBI's taxonomy places the organism in Eukaryota, Metazoa, Chordata, Mammalia, Artiodactyla, Monodontidae.